UCUGCUGUGGAAUCGCAAGGCUCAACGUUGCGCGUGCAGUGGGUACGGGCGGACUAGAGUGCAGUAGGGGAGUCUGGAAUUCCUGGUGUAGCGGUGAAAUGCGCAGAUAUCAGGAGGAACACCGGUGGCGAAGGCGGGACUCUGGGCUGUUACUGACGCUGAGGAGCGAAAGCAUGGGGAGCGAACAGGAUUAGAUACCCUGGUAGUCCAUGCCGUAAACGUUGGGCACUAGGUGUGGGGCUCAUUCCACGAGUUCCGCGCCGCAGCUAACGCAUUAAGUGCCCCGCCUGGGGAGUACGGCCGCAAGGCUAAAACUCAAAGGAAUUGACGGGGGCCCGCACAAGCGGCGGAGCAUGCGGAUUAAUUCGAUGCAACGCGAAGAACCUUACCAAGGCUUGACAUACACCGGAAUGGGCCAGAGAUGGUUCAGCCCUUUGGGCUGGUGUACAGGUGGUGCAUGGUUGUCGUCAGCUCGUGUCGUGAGAUGUUGGGUUAAGUCCCGCAACGAGCGCAACCCUCGUUCUAUGUUGCCAGCACGUGAUGGUGGGAACUCAUAGGAGACUGCCGGGGUCAACUCGGAGGAAGGUGGGGAUGACGUCAAAUCAUCAUGCCCUUUAUGUCUUGGGCUUCACGCAUGCUACAAUGGUUGGUACAAAGGGUGGCGAGACCGCGAGGUGGAGCGAAUCCCAGAAAGCCGAUCUCAGUUCGGAUCGUAGUCUGCAA
This 723-nucleotide ribosomal RNA is filed under the name uncultured bacterium. RNAcentral's name for it is "bacterial SSU rRNA". It matches the Rfam family "Bacterial small subunit ribosomal RNA", at positions 588 to 1310 of the family's 1533-position model. The record is from RNAcentral.